AUCACGAUUGUUUUUGGAAAAGGAAGAAAGCAAUAUCGUUGUUUCUUCACUACCGAAACAAAACUCCAAAAUUCAGUAACCUAUUAAUUUGAGUCUGUGUGGACGAACUAGAGGCCUGACGUGUGGAAGGCUUAUUGCUGGAAUUCAAACAUCUACAUCAGGCAUCGCAUAUUCGUCUAAACAAGUAAGUACUUAUUUGUUUUGAAAUAUGAAGGCCUGAAUCAAAUUGCAACUUCAAGCAAGAAGAACAAAACUAAACUGUUUGCUCAUUCCGCUGCGCAAAUAAUUUUCUUUCACAUGGCACAUACUUUUGCACAUCUUGAUUAAUCGCCAUAACCGUAGAUGUUUUCCGUGUAUUUUCCAUUAUGGAUAAAAACUAAAUUUAUGUGGAUAUUUUGAAAGCUUAUGAGAUUGUAUUAUUAUGCACAAGCACAGAGGGUUGAGACAUUUACCCAAAACAAAGUAUACCUUAGUUUUGUCAUCUUUACCAGCAUGGAGAACCUUCCCUCCCUCAGUUAUGGAGUCAGGAUCAUAGCUACUAGAGAAUCAAGCAGUUGGACUGUUUUUUUCCGGAACUGCUCUUCUGAUAUUUCGAGAUCAAAAUCUAUGGACCAAGACACCAGGCAAAGUAAAAUUUGAUGCAGCAAAUUUGCGAAAUGAUUUAAUUUGACAUUUAGUUGGAAAGUUAACAAAAGAUUACAAUAUAACGUUACACAUUGUUUAGCUCCUAAGGUCACCUGGUAAAGAAUUAGUCUUUCCAUUUUGGGCUAAACCAAACCACAUUUUUUAUUCAGACGACGUUUUUUAUUCACACACUAAUCAAAUAUCAAAGGAGGAUAACUUAGCAGAGUCUCUUGCACCAUGGUUGAGGUUCUCCAGACCACAUCUUUAUUGCCCGUUAGUCAUUGGCUAAUCCACCUAGCUUAGUAUUAUUGGUAGCACGACAGAAACAAUUUCAGGCAAAGUUUGACAGUUGCUGUUUUACAUCUAUCAUCAAGUUGCCAAGAGUUGCUGGAAUGGUCUUUUGGGCCCUAAAAACAUUCAUUUAAACCACAACAGAGUCUACUAUGCAAGGUAAUAUCCAGAAUGCACUAUUGGAUGAGCAAAUAUAAUCAAUUUAUUCCAUGAAACAGAAAAUGCUAGAGAAGUAACCUUGAAAUACUGACAUUUUAUAUGGACCUCAAUAACCACAUACUUACAUAUAUAUUUACGGAUAUUUUUGUCUUACAAGCAGUGUGUGGAGAAAACAAACCAAAAUUAAGGAUGAGACCAACGCAAAUCAAGAAAACAAACCAAAAUCUAGGAUAAGUCUAUGGUAAUAGAACGUUUACAAAUGCAACAGUGAAGAGACUCAAUCCCAUGUGCACUUGAUCUGGUGAGGGUGUUUGAAAUCAUAUGUCAUUAGCAAACUUCCAUCCAUUCUCUUAAACACAAAACUCUCAACCAAAACAAAACAUCCAAAUUCUCUCCACUCACCCUUUUCUCCAGAGUAUUCUAUCCGUUCCACCCUCACUUGCCUUUCGUUCCCACCUAGCCAUCCAGCUCUUUCUUGCUCCCAUUUCAUCCUUUGAACUAAUUCUAUGCUCAGACCAACUGUCGCUUCCUCUCCAGCUCUCCCAAAACUCUUAAACCAUAUUGUUCCUUCAACAACAUUUUUCUCAUCCCACACAGCUUUGUUGCCAGCAAUGUAGACAGCUUCUCGAUCAAUGGUGACAUCUAUGGACACAGACUUCGCCUCAUGAUAGAUAUUCUGUGUUGAAUAUACCUGCUCCCACUUUUGCUCCAGAGUCACCUGAUAAAACAUUGAUCUUUUCAUCUGAUCUUUCACUAUCCCAUCUUUGAUAAACAGAAAAGGGCUAUACCAUUUCCCUACUACAACAGCUUCAGAACUCUUAUACGAUGGUGGUACACUGAAUUCAGGAAGGCGGGCUCGUAGAGUAGCAUUGAGACCAGGAGCUUCGUCUAAUUUGUAGUGUUUUGGAGUUUUAGUGCGAACUGACCACCCUUUUCUUCUCAAGAAAUAGGGAGGAAAACCAUCAGGCGCAACAGAUUUAGCAUAAAAGUAACCCCUGCCAGCGCAAGGUGUUUCACGAACAAAAACCUCAAAUUGUUGGUAAAUGUUCUUUGGAUCAAAUGGCCUUGGUUUAAUAUCUUUAACACAACGACAGAAACAGCAGGUGGUCAUGUCUUCUUCCCUAGAACAAGCCACGGCUUGCCUGAAAUAAUGAGGAGGAGAUUAAUUAGGAAAUGCUCCGUGACAAACCAAUCAGAUUAAGGAACAAAUUAGUGGCAUACUGUAGGAAAGCAUUAACAUGCAAUUAUUAGUUCUUCAGGUUCUGGAUUGAGAACUUUUAGAUGUGAAGAUAGCUGUUUCAAGUUUUCUGCAGAGGCUAGAGCGUAAUACAAGUGAUGAAUGCAGUUAAGUCGCAAUUUGUCAACCAAAAUUGUUUUAUUAAAAUUGAUUUUGUUCAUCAAAAUUCUCUUCCUGCUGUAAAAUUAUGCUGACUUUGUUUUCUGGAACUUUGCAUCUCCUUUUAAACUUAGCCUGCUUGAAGACUAGUUGAAUUAUAUUCAGGCCACUCAAUUCCAAGGUUUCGAAGUGCAUGAUUCUGGUAUAGUUCUUUUCAGUUGAAGCUCAUUCUCUAUUUCAAAGAAGAAUCAGUUCCUAACCAGUCAUUUAAAACUGAACUAAAAAACAAGCUCAUCAAAACAUAAACAUAAGUUAAAACCAGAAGAAGGACCUUUUUGAUACAUACCCUUUGUGAUCAUUUAAAACUGAAGUAAAAAACAAGCUCAUCAAAACAUAAAUAUAAGUUAAACAAGAAGAAGGACCUUUUCGAUACAUACCCUUUGUGAUUUCCAUGUGGCUUGAUGACAUAGUAGCGAUUCGAAGACAAAGGAAGGUUGAGAACUGGAAUGAAGACAGCAUCAUUAAGGGAAACAUGUUGGCUCUCACCACUACUUUGUACGUAGCGAACUGUCAAGUCCUUGUUCUGAGGAAACGGCAGAUCCCUCAGGGUUCGAUUCUUGCACAAUCCAAAACAAGAAUAUGUCUCCGAUUCUUCAUCUUGAAUUACCAAGUAUCCGGAAUUUGGACCCUCCGGGGGUAAUGAAAGUGCAUCUGGAUUCUUUGUGUACUCAGAAAGUGGCCUUGCAACAUACAUAUUUCCCAAAUUUUCUUCCCCAGUCCUCCUGUGUUAGUCUAUUUAUUGAUGUUUACAGAUGUUUGACAAGUCGUAUUUGCAAAUACCAUAUCCCUCUCUGUCUCUAUAUGUAUAUCUACAAGAGGAUAAGGUGGGAACAUUUAGAAUCUUCAGUAUACAACCAAGGAAGUUUUUUUUUUUUUUUUUUUUUUUUGAAGGAACUAAGGAAGUUCACACUUGACAAAAUAAUAUCCUAAUGGCAAAGAUGGGUUAGAAAUCAACCAACCUGGAAAAGUUGAACAAGUUAGCUAGCCAGACAACAAGCUGACCAGUGCUGAAUCUGUUUGCAGAUACAAUUUCCUCGUUGAUUCCAGGAAAGUUACCCGGGAUCAGCUUAUAUUUGGAGCCAAAACCUUGAAAACAAGAAGUUUAUGCAGA
Molecule: long non-coding RNA, 3581 nt
Filed under: Coffea arabica (coffee)
Lineage: Eukaryota; Viridiplantae; Streptophyta; Magnoliopsida; Gentianales; Rubiaceae
Description: long non-coding RNA (CARA_LNC007609)
Source: RNAcentral